This is a non-coding RNA of Pangasianodon gigas (Mekong giant catfish), 73 nucleotides long. Lineage: Eukaryota; Metazoa; Chordata; Actinopteri; Siluriformes; Pangasiidae. The record is from the annotation of a GenBank genome assembly.
UGUUUACUGUAUGAGAGUAUCUGACCCCUCUCUCUCUCUCUCUGUGUGUGUGUGUGUGUGUGUGUAGGUAAUA